This 496-nucleotide ribosomal RNA is filed under the name Alexandrium margalefii. RNAcentral's name for it is "partial Bacterial small subunit ribosomal RNA". It matches the Rfam family "Bacterial small subunit ribosomal RNA", at positions 275 to 764 of the family's 1533-position model. The record is from RNAcentral. Lineage: Eukaryota; Dinophyceae; Gonyaulacales; Pyrocystaceae.
GACGAUCUCUAGCUGUUCUGAUAGGAAGAUCAGCCACACUGGGACUGAGACACGGCCCAGACUCCUACGGGAGGCAGCAGUGGGGAAUAUUGGACAAUGGGCGCAAGCCUGAUCCAGCAAUGCCGCGUGUGUGAAGAAGGCCUUCGGGUUGUAAAGCACUUUAGGAUGGAAAGAAAAAACUUUAGUUAAUAGCUGAAGUCUUGACGGUACCAUCAGAAUAAGCACCGGCUAACUCUGUGCCAGCAGCCGCGGUAAUACAGAGGGUGCAAGCGUUAAUCGGAUUUACUGGGCGUAAAGCGUGUGUAGGUGGUGGCGUAAGUCGGUUGUGAAAUCCCCGGGCUUAACCUGGGAACUGCUUCCGAUACUGCGUCACUAGAGUACGGUAGAGGGUGGUGGAAUUUCCGGUGUAGCGGUGAAAUGCGUAGAUAUCGGAAGGAACAUCAAUGGCGAAGGCAACCACCUGGGCCUGAACUGACUCUGAGGCACGAAAGCGUGG